Molecule: ribosomal RNA, 647 nt
Filed under: Leotiomycetes sp. A902
Lineage: Eukaryota; Fungi; Ascomycota; Leotiomycetes
Description: SSU rRNA
Rfam family: Eukaryotic small subunit ribosomal RNA
Source: RNAcentral
GUGUAUUUAUUAGAUAAAAAACCAAUGCCCUUCGGGGCUCCUUGGUGAUUCAUAAUAACUUAACGAAUCGCAUGGCCUUGCGCCGGCGAUGGUUCAUUCAAAUUUCUGCCCUAUCAACUUUCGAUGGUAGGAUAGUGGCCUACCAUGGUUUCAACGGGUAACGGGGAAUUAGGGUUCUAUUCCGGAGAGGGAGCCUGAGAAACGGCUACCACAUCCAAGGAAGGCAGCAGGCGCGCAAAUUACCCAAUCCCGACACGGGGAGGUAGUGACAAUAAAUACUGAUACAGGGCUCUUUUGGGUCUUGUAAUUGGAAUGAGUACAAUUUAAAUCCCUUAACGAGGAACAAUUGGAGGGCAAGUCUGGUGCCAGCAGCCGCGGUAAUUCCAGCUCCAAUAGCGUAUAUUAAAGUUGUUGCAGUUAAAAAGCUCGUAGUUGAACCUUGGGCCUGGCUGGCCGGUCCGCCUCACCGCGUGCACUGGUCCGGCCGGGCCUUUCCUUCUGGGGAGCCGCAUGCCCUUCACUGGGUGUGUCGGGGAACCAGGACUUUUACUUUGAAAAAAUUAGAGUGUUCAAAGCAGGCCUAUGCUCGAAUACAUUAGCAUGGAAUAAUAGAAUAGGACGUGUGGUUCUAUUUUGUUGGUUUCUAG